AAAUUGAAGAGUUUGAUCAUGGCUCAGAUUGAACGCUGGCGGCAGGCCUAACACAUGCAAGUCGAGCGGUAGCACAGAGAGCUUGCUCUCGGGUGACGAGCGGCGGACGGGUGAGUAAUGUCUGGGAAACUGCCUGAUGGAGGGGGAUAACUACUGGAAACGGUAGCUAAUACCGCAUAACGUCGCAAGACCAAAGUGGGGGACCUUCGGGCCUCAUGCCAUCAGAUGUGCCCAGAUGGGAUUAGCUAGUAGGUGGGGUAACGGCUCACCUAGGCGACGAUCCCUAGCUGGUCUGAGAGGAUGACCAGCCACACUGGAACUGAGACACGGUCCAGACUCCUACGGGAGGCAGCAGUGGGGAAUAUUGCACAAUGGGCGCAAGCCUGAUGCAGCCAUGCCGCGUGUGUGAAGAAGGCCUUCGGGUUGUAAAGCACUUUCAGCGGGGAGGAAGGCGUUAAGGUUAAUAACCUUGGCGAUUGACGUUACCCGCAGAAGAAGCACCGGCUAACUCCGUGCCAGCAGCCGCGGUAAUACGGAGGGUGCAAGCGUUAAUCGGAAUUACUGGGCGUAAAGCGCACGCAGGCGGUCUGUCAAGUCGGAUGUGAAAUCCCCGGGCUCAACCUGGGAACUGCAUUCGAAACUGGCAGGCUAGAGUCUUGUAGAGGGGG
This 668-nucleotide ribosomal RNA is filed under the name Klebsiella pneumoniae. Its description in RNAcentral is "bacterial SSU rRNA". It matches the Rfam family "Bacterial small subunit ribosomal RNA", at positions 1 to 660 of the family's 1533-position model. Lineage: Bacteria; Pseudomonadati; Pseudomonadota; Gammaproteobacteria; Enterobacterales; Enterobacteriaceae. The record is from RNAcentral.